UACGGAGGGGGCAAGCGUUGUUCGGAAUUACUGGGCGUAAAGGGCGCGUAGGCGGCCUGCUAAGUCGAACGUGAAAUCCCCGGGCUCAACCCGGGAACUGCGUCCGAUACUGGCAGGCUUGAAUCCGGGAGAGGGAUGUGGAAUUCCAGGUGUAGCGGUGAAAUGCGUAGAUAUCUGGAGGAACACCGGUGGCGAAGGCGGCAUCCUGGACCGGUAUUGACGCUGAUGCGCGAAAGCCAGGGGAGCAAACGGG
RNAcentral lists this ribosomal RNA (253 nucleotides) under uncultured bacterium. Its description in RNAcentral is "partial 16S ribosomal RNA". It matches the Rfam family "Bacterial small subunit ribosomal RNA", at positions 524 to 776 of the family's 1533-position model. The record is from RNAcentral.